Molecule: long non-coding RNA, 568 nt
Filed under: Rattus norvegicus (Norway rat)
Lineage: Eukaryota; Metazoa; Chordata; Mammalia; Rodentia; Muridae
Description: long non-coding RNA NONRATT005614
Source: RNAcentral
UGCAAAGGUUCUGAAGGGCUCAGAUAAAGACCACUGUGAAGAGAAAAGUAUACGAAGACUCCGGUAUCCCCCUUCCAGCUGAGUCACCCAAGAAAGGUCCCAAGAAGAUGACAUCCGGUGUCCUCUCACCUCCAAACGCCCCUCCGCCCAGCAGCUCCAGUGUCCCUGAAGCUGGGGGUCCUCCCAUAAAGAAACAGAAGGCUGAUGUGACACUCAGUGCUCUGAACGACUCCGACGCCAACAGUGACCUGGUGGAUGUCGAAGGGCUAGGAGAAACUCCUCCAGCCAAGAAACUCAACUUUGACCAGGACAGCCUGACCCUGGACUCUGGCCUUCUCUCGACCUCUGCUGAUGCUCCUCUACUCUCCUGCUGAGCCUUCCACCUCUGACCCUCAUUGUUCACCCUGGACCUGUGGAUCGCCUGGGACUCUAAGCAAGGACUGCACGAGAGAGGGUCAGAGGGCUGCUGGAGCUACCCGCCCUGUUCCUGAUAACCACCUCACCCUUUGACUUCUGUCUGAUGGACGUUUUUAUACAGAAAAUUAUAAUUAAAAAUAAUUCUCUCAGC